GACGAACGCUGGCGGCGCGCUUAAUACAUGCAAGUCGAACGAGAACCAGAGGUGCUUGCACUUCUGGGGACAGUGGCGAACGGGUGAGUAUCACGUGAGAAACCUGCCUCGAAGAUUGGGACAACAGAAGGAAACUUCUGCUAAUACCGAAUAUCUUCUUUUUAACUCCUGUUUUAAAGAAGAAAGCUCCGGCGCUUCGAGAUGGUCUCGCGUCCUAUCAGCUUGUUGGUGAGGUAAAAGCUCACCAAGGCAUCGACGGGUAGCUGGUCUGAGAGGAUGUCCAGCCACACUGGAACUGAGACACGGUCCAGACUCCUACGGGAGGCAGCAGUAGGGAAUCUUGCACAAUGAGGGAAACCUUGAUGCAGCGACGCCGCGUGCGGGACGAAGGCCUUAGGGUUGUAAACCGCUUUCAGUAGGGAAGAAAGUGACGGUACCUACAGAAGAAGCCCCGGCCAAAUAUGUGCCAGCAGCCGCAG
This 479-nucleotide ribosomal RNA is filed under the name uncultured bacterium. RNAcentral describes it as "bacterial SSU rRNA". It matches the Rfam family "Bacterial small subunit ribosomal RNA", at positions 28 to 520 of the family's 1533-position model. The record is from RNAcentral.